RNAcentral lists this ribosomal RNA (253 nucleotides) under uncultured bacterium. RNAcentral's name for it is "partial 16S ribosomal RNA". It matches the Rfam family "Bacterial small subunit ribosomal RNA", at positions 524 to 776 of the family's 1533-position model. The record is from RNAcentral.
UACGUAGGGCGCAAGCGUUAUCCGGAAUUAUUGGGCGUAAAGAGCUCGUAGGCGGUUUGUCGCGUCUGCUGUGAAAGACCGGGGCUCAACUCCGGUUCUGCAGUGGGUACGGGCAGACUAGAGUGCAGUAGGGGAGACUGGAAUUCCUGGUGUAGCGGUGAAAUGCGCAGAUAUCAGGAGGAACACCGAUGGCGAAGGCGGGUCUCUGGGCCGAUACUGACGCUGAGGAGCGAAAGCGUGGGGAGCGAACAGG